Molecule: long non-coding RNA, 190 nt
Organism: Prionailurus viverrinus (fishing cat)
Lineage: Eukaryota; Metazoa; Chordata; Mammalia; Carnivora; Felidae
Exons: 4
Source: RefSeq, a predicted model, not a curated record
UAAAAAGAAACAAGCCAGCACACAAGUACACUUCCUCCUUGUGUGGCAAAACCAAGAUGAAAAGAUGAGCUGUGGGGAUCUGGCAUUGUGGUUCCUGCAUGCAAACCAUAGCGAGCGGGUGGUGCCUGGAACUACAACACCACGUCUGCUGUCACAGCAAAGUCAGCUCUGUCUCUUUUACAAAUCUGAC